Molecule: non-coding RNA, 983 nt
Organism: Podarcis lilfordi (Lilford's wall lizard)
Lineage: Eukaryota; Metazoa; Chordata; Lepidosauria; Squamata; Lacertidae
Source: the annotation of a GenBank genome assembly
CCCAAACUGUUUUUAUUUUAUUAGAAGUUAUCAGAGUGGUCUCCCUUAGUUCUUUACUACAGGGCAGGGUCUGUUAGUAUGUGAGUGUGAUAAUAAUAAAAAUAUAUUAUUUAUACCCUACCCAUCUGGCUGGGCUUCCCCAGCCACUCUGGGCAGCUUCCAACAAAAUAUUAAAAUACAGUAAUCCAUCAAACAUUAAAAGCUUCCCUAAACAGGGCUGCCUUCAGAUGUCUUCUAAAAGUCUGGUAGUUGUUGUUCUCUUUGACAUCUGGUGGGAGGGCAUUCCACGGGGCGGGUGCCACUACCGAGAAGGCCCUCUGCCUGGUUCCCUGUAACUUGGCUUCUCGCAGUGAGGGAACUGCCAGAAGGCCCUCAGUGCUGGACCUCAGUGUCCGGGUAGAACGAUGGGGGUGGAGACGCUCCUUCAGAUAUGCAAGUCUUAUCAAACGGCAAAGCUCUGCAAAUAUUCUCCUCAGUCCUAAUUCAUGUACACCUGAAAGGUACUGUCAGGGAACUGACAUCAGAGCGGGAGGCGAAGGGGAGGCUCCUAGAUGAUGCUGGAGAGGGACCCAGCAGGGGGAGAAGCAGCUCAGUGGAGGGGGAAGCAUUUAAGCGCAACACCAGGAACAAAAGUGAGCUGAUGGGGAAAUCGGAGAGAGGGCUCACGGACUCUUCACUGGAACUCAGUGAGGAGGGGACAGGUCCUCCGCUACCUACGCCCACCCUGCGCAGAAGGCUCCCGCGCAGUGAGAGGCGGAGGAGAUUGGGUGUCAAACAACUCUUAUGUUGGAAGAGAUUCAAGAAACGCCCACUGACGGAUUCUGCUAGUGACUGAGACAGUCAUGAUGAGAAAGGGCUGUGCAGUCAGAAAAGUUUAACAAGGCAAAUUAGCCUAGAGAGGCACCAGUUUACGCACGAGUAACUCAUAAUCAUCACAGGUACAUUGGGUGAAAUCUCAAAAGCCUGUGGCAGUGAAAGGCAGG